This 490-nucleotide ribosomal RNA is filed under the name uncultured bacterium. Its description in RNAcentral is "partial 16S ribosomal RNA". It matches the Rfam family "Bacterial small subunit ribosomal RNA", at positions 30 to 507 of the family's 1533-position model. The record is from RNAcentral.
AUUGAACGCUGGCAGCAGGCCUAACACAUGCAAGUCGAACGGUAACAGGAAGCAGCUUGCUGCUUUGCUGACGAGUGGCGGACGGGUGAGUAAUGUCUGGGAAACUGCCCGAUGGAGGGGGAUAACUACUGGAAACGGUAGCUAAUACCGCAUAACGUCGCAAGACCAAAGAGGGGGACCUUAGGGCCUCUUGCCAUCGGAUGUGCCCAGAUGGGAUUAGCUAGUAGGUGGGGUAACGGCUCACCUAGGCGACGAUCCCUAGCUGGUCUGAGAGGAUGACCAGCCACACUGGAACUGAGACACGGUCCAGACUCCUACGGGAGGCAGCAGUGGGGAAUAUUGCACAAUGGGCGCAAGCCUGAUGCAGCCAUGCCGCGUGUAUGAAGAAGGCCUUCGGGUUGUAAAGUACUUUCAGCGGGGAGGAAGGGAGUAAAGUUAAUACCUUUGCUCAUUGACGUUACCCGCAGAAGAAGCACCGGCUAACUCCGUG